Molecule: ribosomal RNA, 303 nt
Filed under: uncultured bacterium
Lineage: Bacteria
Description: partial 16S ribosomal RNA
Rfam family: Bacterial small subunit ribosomal RNA
Source: RNAcentral
AGCAGUCGCCGCGGGAAUACAGAGGGUGCGAGCGUUAAUCGGAUUUACUGGGCGUAAAGCGUGCGUAGGCGGCUUCUUAAGUCGGAUGUGAAAUCCCUGAGCUUAACUUAGGAAUUGCAUUCGAUACUGGGAAGCUAGAGUAUGGGAGAGGAUGGUAGAAUUCCAGGUGUAGCGGUGAAAUGCGUAGAGAUCUGGAGGAAUACCGAUGGCGAAGGCAGCCAUCUGGCCUAAUACUGACGCUGAGGUACGAAAGCAUGGGGAGCAAACAGGAUUAGAUACCCCCGUAGUCCCUGUCUCUUAUAU